GUAACAAGGUUUCCGUAGGUGAACCUGCGGAAGGAUCAUUACCGAGUGCAGGUCUGCCCCCGGGCAGGCCUAACCUCCCACCCGUGAAUACCUGACCAACGUUGCUUCGGCGGUGCGCCCCCCCCGGGGGUAGCCGCCGGAGACCACACCGAACCUCCUGUCUUUAGUGUUGUCUGAGCUUGAUAGCAAACCUAUUAAAACUUUCAACAAUGGAUCUCUUGGUUCCGGCAUCGAUGAAGAACGCAGCGAACUGCGAUAAGUAAUGUGAAUUGCAGAAUUCAGUGAAUCAUCGAGUCUUUGAACGCACAUUGCGCCCCCUGGCAUUCCGGGGGGCAUGCCUGUCCGAGCGUCAUUGCUGCCCUUCAAGCCCGGCUUGUGUGUUGGGUCGUCGUCCCCCCCGGGGGACGGGCCCGAAAGGCAGCGGCGGCACCGCGUCCGGUCCUCGAGCGUAUGGGGCUUUGUCACCCGCUCGAUUAGGGCCGGCCGGGCGCCAGCCGGCGUCUCCAACCUUCUAUUUUACCAGGUUGACCUCGGAUCAGGUAGGGAUACCCGCUGAACUUAAGCAU
Molecule: unclassified non-coding RNA, 566 nt
Filed under: Aspergillus calidoustus
Lineage: Eukaryota; Fungi; Ascomycota; Eurotiomycetes; Eurotiales; Aspergillaceae
Description: sequence contains 18S rRNA gene, ITS1, 5.8S rRNA gene, ITS2, 28S rRNA gene
Rfam family: 5.8S ribosomal RNA (bases 199-352)
Source: RNAcentral